Molecule: ribosomal RNA, 1377 nt
Filed under: Ophiactis savignyi
Lineage: Eukaryota; Metazoa; Echinodermata; Ophiuroidea; Amphilepidida; Ophiactidae
Description: 16S ribosomal RNA
Rfam family: Bacterial large subunit ribosomal RNA
Source: RNAcentral
GUCUAUUAAAGGUUAAGAAUCUAAGAAAAUUUAAGUAAAACAUUAUAUUAGGUAAGAGAUUUUUAGUAUUGUGUAAAGAACAGUUUUAAAAACUUCGAUAGAGAAAGUACCGUGAGGGAAAGGUGAAGAAUAAGGCCUUAAAAUUAAGAAAAGAAGACCUAUGUCUUACCUUUUGCAUUAUGGUUGGUUAAAUAAAAUGAUCGAGUUGUUCAAUGGACGAAGUGGGACGAGUUACUUUUUUCUUUGGCGAGGCCUUAAUCUUUCGGUGUUGCAGAACUUGGAAGAAGAGGGGAAAGUAGGGGUGAUACGCUUAUCGAGUUCCAUGUUAGCUUUUUUUUGAGGAAUUAGGUAUAAGCCUAACUUAUGUUGUCUUAAGGUAGAGAGUUGCGGAUGAGCGCUAUUCUCUUAGAGAAAACAGUCUUUGCUUAUGAGUUAAGUUAAUGAGAAAAUUAAGAGUUUAGGUAAGUAUGUUAAUCUUAGUAGCUUUCUUCUGGAGUGUGUCGGAGCUCACUAAACUUUUGUCUAAUGUUGAUGUGUUAGGCUGAACUCUUUAAAUAUUACUCAAAUUUCUUGGUAGCGGGAGGAAAUAUGACUAAAUGAGUAAAGCAAGGCCUCAUUUAAGAAAUAACCUAAAGAGAGUGCGCAGGGCUUUCUUUUUGUUUAAGUUUUCUUAUAGAAGUGAGGUUAAAGAUUGUUAAAGUGUGGAAAGGAACUCGGCAAAUCUCUCUUGCGCCUGUUUACCAAAAACAACGCCUUCGGAAAAAGAUCGAAAGGUUCUGCCUGCCCGGUGACUUAAGAGGUUAAACGGCUGCAGUACCCUGACUGUGCAAAGGUAGCAUAAUCAUCUGUUCAUUAAUUGUGGACUGGCAUCAACGGCUAGACGACAAGAAAGCUGUCUCCCUACACUGAUCUUGAAUUUAACGUAGAGGUGAAGAGGCCUCUAUUUGGCAGUGGGACGAGAAGACCCUAUUGAGCUUUAAUCUCUGCUAAACUGUUUUUGGUAAGAGGUUUGGGUUGGGGCAACUGUUUUUAUGUUUUAAAACAAAGGCACAAUAAGGAUAAAUUAAUUUUAAGGCGAGACCCAAAAAAGUUUGAUCAUUAGAACAAGUUACCUUAGGGAUAACAGCGUUAUUUUCCCCGAAAGUCCUUAUUGACGGGAAAGUUUGCGACCUCGAUGUUGGAUCAAGGCCCCCUGGGUGUGCAGAAGCCCCCAACGGUUGGUUUGUUCAACCAUUAAAGCCUUACGUGAUCUGAGUUCAGUCCGUCGUGAGACAGGACAGUUUCUAUCUACUUAAUGACUCUUUCUAGUACGAAAGGAAUUUUAGAGGGCAGCCAACGGGCAAGCUGUGCUGCUAAAAAAACCUAAACAAUAUAAAA